This 77-nucleotide transfer RNA is filed under the name Dictyoglomota bacterium. RNAcentral's name for it is "Dictyoglomi bacterium (hydrothermal vent metagenome) tRNA-Pro". It matches the Rfam family "tRNA". Rfam says of the family: Transfer RNA (tRNA) molecules are approximately 80 nucleotides in length. Their secondary structure includes four short double-helical elements and three loops (D, anti-codon, and T loops). Further hydrogen bonds mediate the characteristic L-shaped molecular structure. tRNAs have two regions of fundamental functional importance: the anti-codon, which is responsible for specific mRNA codon recognition, and the 3' end, to which the tRNAs corresponding amino acid is attached (by aminoacyl-tRNA synthetases). tRNAs cope with the degeneracy of the genetic code in two manners: having more than one tRNA (with a specific anti-codon) for a particular amino acid; and 'wobble' base-pairing, i.e. permitting non-standard base-pairing at the 3rd anti-codon position. The record is from RNAcentral. Lineage: Bacteria; Pseudomonadati; Dictyoglomota. RNAcentral also lists the same sequence under 1 other name.
CGGGGCGUAGCGCAGUAUGGGAGCGCGCGUGCCUUGGGAGCACGAGGUCGGCGGUUCGAGCCCGCCCGCCCCGACCA